Sarcophilus harrisii (Tasmanian devil) is the source of this 717-nucleotide long non-coding RNA. RefSeq lists it as uncharacterized. The transcript is spliced from 2 exons. Lineage: Eukaryota; Metazoa; Chordata; Mammalia; Dasyuromorphia; Dasyuridae. The record is from RefSeq and is a predicted model, not a curated record.
UCUUUAGAACUGGCUCUUCACACCAUUUGCCUCCUGGGAGAGAAGUCUUUCAGAACCUGUAAUUAGAGUGAUCUUGCAAAAAGAUGUCCUGCCAACAAAGCCAGCAGCAAUGCCAGGCCCCUAAGUGCCCCCCUAAGUGUCCUCCUAAGUGCCAGACACCCAAGUGCCCACCCAAAUGUCCUCCUAAAUGUCCCCUUAAAUGCCCUCCCCAGGCUCCAUGCUCUCCUCCAGUCUCUUCCUGCUGUGGCUCUAGCUCUGGAGGAUGCUGCAGCUCUGGGGGAUGCUGUGGGUCCAGCUCUGGGGGAUGCUGCAGCUCUGGAGGAUGCUGUGGCUCUGGUGGAGGCUGCUGCCUUUUUUCCCAUCACAGGAGAUCCCGCAGGAGCAGGCGCCAGAGGAAUGACUGCUGUGACAGUGGCAGUGGACACAGCCAGCAGUCUGGAGGCUGCUGUGGUGGCUCUGGAGGUUGCUGUGGGAGCUCUGGGGGCUGCUGCUGAUCAUCUGGCUCUCUCUACACCAAGAAUCAGUGAAAUGGAACCCAGGACCAAUGUAUCACCCACCUCAUCUGCAACUGCCAUGGAAUUUGCCUGCACAGAAAUGGUUCUUCAAAAACACUUAUUGAUCUCAGAUCAGUGAGCUUUGGCUCAUCUGCCUAACUUCCCUCCCACUGUUCUCUUUUGUUCAGAGACCACAUGCAACAUUAAAUUUACAUUCACAGUC